CCUACGGGAGGCAGCAGUGGGGAAUAUUGCACAAUGGGCGCAAGCCUGAUGCAGCGACGCCGCGUGCGGGAUGGAGGCCUUCGGGUUGUAAACCGCUUUUGUUCAAGGGCAAGGCACGGUCUUUGGCCGUGUUGAGUGGAUUGUUCGAAUAAGCACCGGCUAACUACGUGCCAGCAGCCGCGGUAAUACGUAGGGUGCAAGCGUUAUCCGGAUUUAUUGGGCGUAAAGGGCUCGUAGGCGGUUCGUCGCGUCCGGUGUGAAAGUCCAUCGCUUAACGGUGGAUCCGCGCCGGGUACGGGCGGGCUUGAGUGCGGUAGGGGAGACUGGAAGUCCCGGUGUAACGGUGGAAUGUGUAGAUAUCAGGAGGAACACCGGCGGCGAAGGCGGCCUGCUGGACCGCGACUGACGUUGAGGCUCGAAAGCGUGGGGAGCGAACAGGAUUAGAUACCCUAGUAGUC
This 458-nucleotide ribosomal RNA is filed under the name uncultured bacterium. RNAcentral describes it as "partial 16S ribosomal RNA". It matches the Rfam family "Bacterial small subunit ribosomal RNA", at positions 338 to 795 of the family's 1533-position model. The record is from RNAcentral.